GAGGAGGAGGCGGCGGCGUGGAGCUGCCUCCUGCCGGCGGGCCGGGCCGGGCCGAGCCCCGGGCGCUGCGGCGACGCCUGGAUCCUGCCUCCGCCAGGCCGGCUGCCCGGUGCCCCGAGGAGGCUGCUGAGCCCCAGGCCAUGGUCCCCUCUCGCAGGACGUGGAACCUGGGAGCCACGCCCUCGCUGCGGGGCCUGUGGAGAGUGGGCCGGGCCCCGGAGCCCGAGCCGGGGAUGGCUCGCCCCGCCCCAGCCCCAGCCAGCCCGGCCGCCCGCCCUUUCCCACACACCGGCCCGGGGAGGUUGAGAACUGGGCGUGGAAAAGAUACCCCAGUCUGCGGUGACGAGGACUCCAGUGCCCGAAGUGCAGCUCGCCCAGCCCUAGCUCAGUGCCGAGCUCUUAGUGUGGACUGGGCUGGCCCCGGAAGCCCCCACGGGCUCUACCUGACCCUGCAGGUGGGUGUCUCUUUGGCAGCAGGAGGUGCUCGAGCCUGUCGGGGCCACCAGGUGCGGCCCCCGUGGUGCAUAGGAUGGUGGAGGCCAUGUCCCAGCUCCAGGAGGAGAAGGCCCAGCUACAGGAGAAGCUGGUGGUCCUACAGGAGAGGCUGGCCCUCCGCGACAGUGACCAGCAGGCCACGUCCACCCAGCUGCAGAACCAGGUACCUGGGGAGGCUGGGAUGGGCAGAGGCCACUGCCCACUAUGGAGCAGGUCAGAAGACAUCACC
This 724-nucleotide small RNA is filed under the name Pongo abelii (Sumatran orangutan). Its description in RNAcentral is "retained intron". The record is from RNAcentral. Lineage: Eukaryota; Metazoa; Chordata; Mammalia; Primates; Hominidae.